AUCUAUUAGAAGUCCGGCAUCGAUGAAGAACGCAGCGAAAUGCGAUAAGUAAUGUGAAUUGCAGAAUUCCGUGAAUCAUCGAAUCUUUGAACGCAUAUUGCGCCCCCUAGUAUUCCGGGGGGCAUGCCUAUUCGAGCGUUA
RNAcentral lists this ribosomal RNA (141 nucleotides) under Trichophyton interdigitale MR816. Its description in RNAcentral is "5.8S ribosomal RNA". It matches the Rfam family "5.8S ribosomal RNA", at positions 26 to 154 of the family's 154-position model. From Rfam's summary of the family: 5.8S ribosomal RNA (5.8S rRNA) is a component of the large subunit of the eukaryotic ribosome. It is transcribed by RNA polymerase I as part of the 45S precursor that also contains 18S and 28S rRNA. Lineage: Eukaryota; Fungi; Ascomycota; Eurotiomycetes; Onygenales; Arthrodermataceae. The record is from Rfam by way of RNAcentral.